RNAcentral lists this ribosomal RNA (469 nucleotides) under Dietzia sp. d30. RNAcentral describes it as "bacterial SSU rRNA". It matches the Rfam family "Bacterial small subunit ribosomal RNA", at positions 10 to 495 of the family's 1533-position model. Lineage: Bacteria; Bacillati; Actinomycetota; Actinomycetes; Mycobacteriales; Dietziaceae. The record is from RNAcentral.
AGUUUGAUCCUGGCUCAGGACGAACGCUGGCGGCGUGCUUAACACAUGCAAGUCGAACGGUAAGGCCCUUUCGGGGGUACACGAGUGGCGAACGGGUGAGUAACACGUGGGUAAUCUGCCCUGCACUUCGGGAUAAGCCUGGGAAACCGGGUCUAAUACCGGAUAUGAGCUCCUGCCGCAUGGUGGGGGUUGGAAAGUUUUUCGGUGCAGGAUGAGUCCGCGGCCUAUCAGCUUGUUGGUGGGGUAAUGGCCUACCAAGGCGACGACGGGUAGCCGGCCUGAGAGGGUGAUCGGCCACACUGGGACUGAGACACGGCCCAGACUCCUACGGGAGGCAGCAGUGGGGAAUAUUGCACAAUGGGCGAAAGCCUGAUGCAGCGACGCCGCGUGGGGGAUGACGGUCUUCGGAUUGUAAACUCCUUUCAGUAGGGACGAAGCGAAAGUGACGGUACCUGCAGAAGAAGCACCG